AGUAGUUUGACUCCGUGGCUCGAGGACGAACGCUGGCGGCGUGCUUAACACAUGCAAGUCGAACGAGGUGAUUGAAAGCUUGCUUUUGAGAACCGAGUGGCAAACGGGUGAGUAACGCGUAGACAACCUGCCGCAAAGAUGGGGACAACAUCCCGAAAGGGGUGCUAAUACCGAAUGUUGUAUCUUUCCGCAUGGGAGAGAUAUUAAAGAUGGCCUCUACUUGUAAGCUAUCGCUUUGCGAUGGGUCUGCGUCUGAUUAGCUAGUUGGUGGGGUAACGGCCUACCAAGGCGACGAUCAGUAGCCGGUCUGAGAGGAUGAACGGCCACAUUGGAACUGAGACACGGUCCAGACUCC
This 355-nucleotide ribosomal RNA is filed under the name uncultured Selenomonas sp. RNAcentral describes it as "bacterial SSU rRNA". It matches the Rfam family "Bacterial small subunit ribosomal RNA", at positions 1 to 339 of the family's 1533-position model. The record is from RNAcentral. Lineage: Bacteria; Bacillati; Bacillota; Negativicutes; Selenomonadales; Selenomonadaceae.